RNAcentral lists this ribosomal RNA (2064 nucleotides) under Triticum aestivum (bread wheat). RNAcentral describes it as "partial small subunit ribosomal RNA". The record is from RNAcentral. Lineage: Eukaryota; Viridiplantae; Streptophyta; Magnoliopsida; Poales; Poaceae.
AUGCUUCUUCUCGAGCCUUACCACUUGGUCGCUCUUCUCCUGCUCCUGGUCGCUGCGGGCCGCUGCCUUGCGGCCACCGGCAGCGGCCAUGACGGCCAGCAGUUCGUCUACAACGGCUUCACGGGCGCCAACCUGAUGCUUGACAGCGCGAGCGCAGUUAUGCCUAACGGCCUCCUCAUGCUGAUCACACCAGAAAGGUGAAGGGCUAUGUCGUCCACCCGUCCGCUGCCGUCCCGCACCGCGUCGAACGCCACCGGCGCUGUGCGGCCUUUCUCCACCACCUUCGUCUUUGCCAUCUCCAAUCAAUACGACAACGUGAGAAGCGACGACAUCGCCUUCUUCCUGGCCACGUCCAGGGAAGUGCUCUCCACUGUGUCGCUAGGCCAGUUCCUGGGCCUCCUCAACGAAGGCAAUAUUGGCAACCGGAGCACCCGCAUCUUCGCGGUGGAGCUAGACACGUUCAAAGAUUACGAACUCCGCGACAUCUACGAUAACCAUGUCGGCGUCAACGUUGAUAGCCUGAUGUCGAUCGACUCCGCCAACGCCGGGUACUAUGAUGAUGGCACUGGGAUGUUCCAGAACCUAAGCCUAAUAAGCGGGAACCCCAUGCAGGUGUGCAUGGACUACGACGGCAGGGCCACGAAGAUUUGGUAAACGGCCAAGGAGAUCACCAUAACCAUGGCUCCGUUGGGCAUGGCCAGGCCCAAGAGGCCCCUCCCAUGGACCACCGUCGACCUCUCGGGUGUGGUAUAGAACACGACAUAUGUCGGGUUCUCUUCGGCAACGAGCUUCUUUUACACACAACACUUCGUCCUCGGCUGGAGCUUCGCGUUGGAUGCGCUAGCCCCUGCACUUAACAUCUCAAUGUUGCCGGCCUUGCCAUCGACCUCGACCUACACGACACGGCGGUCCAUCGUAUUGCCAAUGAUGAUCGUUCUGGCCUUAGCAUUGGUGGCGCUGGUUUCGGUAAGCAUCCUAAUCUACAUAUGUCGUCUCAAGUACUUUGAGGUGUGUGAGGACUGGGAGGCCCCCUUUGGCUCGAACCGAUUUUCUUACAAGGACUUGUUUCAUGCGACCAAAGGGUUCAGUGACUAGAACCUACUUGGGAGGGGAGAUUUUGGAAGUGUCUAUAAGGGUUUGCUUUGCAGGACUGACCUGGAGGUCGCCGUGAAGAGGAUGUCACAUGAUUGAAGGCAAGGAGUAAGGGAGUUCAUUGCCGAGGUGGUGAGUAUUGGUCAUCUUCGACAUCGAAAUAUCACGCAAUUGUUGGGCUAUUGCAGGCGUAAGGGGGAGCUUCUCCUGGUAUAUGACUACAUGGAAAAUGGUAGUCUUGACAAGUACCUACACACAAGAAAUGGCCCAACUCUAUGUUGGUUCCAAAGGUAUUCGAUCAUCAAAGGUGUGGCAUCAAGUUUGUUAUAUCUACAUGAGGACUGGGAACAGGUCGUCAUCCACACGGAUGUAAAGGCAAGCAAUGUGCUCUUGGAUGGUAAUAUGAAUGGAAGGUUGGGAGAUUUUGGUCUUGCAAGGAUAUACGACCAUGAAUCCGCCGCUGAAACCACCCAUGUGGCUGGCACCAUCGGAUACCUUGCGCCUGAACUCUCUCGUGCCGGGACUCCAACACCAUUCUAUGAUGUAUAUGCAUUUGGCGUGUUUCUUCUAGAGGUCACGUGUGGACAAAGGCCAAUCUUCAUCGAUGAGCAUAACAACCGGGCAUUGUUGGUCGAGUGGAUGCUUCAACACCACCACAAUGCUUCUAUCGUCGACACAGUAGAUCAACGACUCGGAGGGGAAUACAAUGCGGAUGAGGUAACCAUCGUGCUCAAACUGGGUUUGUUAUGCACGUACCCAUCGCCCAAUGCAAGACCUACCAUGCGAAUGCAAUACCUUGACCAUUGUUAGCCGCCUCCUGAUUUAUCACUGACCUACAAAAGCUACAUCAUGAUGACACAAAUGCAAAAUGAAGGGUUUGAUUCACAGGACAUGGCAUGUUCUCAACCCGCAAUGAGUGUUGCCACUUUGUCAGGUGAGUCUUCAGUGACAAUUUUGCGAAAGGGAAGGUGA